GACACAGGGUGCAAACGUUGUUCGGAAUUACUGGGCGUAAAGCGCGUGUAGGCGGCUCUGCAAGUCGGAUGUGAAAGCCCUGGGCUCAACCUAGGAAGUGCACUCGAAACUGCAGAGCUUGAGUCUCGGAGAGGAUCGCGGAAUUCUCGGUGUAGAGGUGAAAUUCGUAGAUAUCGAGAGGAACACCGGUGGCGAAGGCGGCGAUCUGGACGAUGACUGACGCUGAGACGCGAAAGCGUGGGGAGCAAACAGG
RNAcentral lists this ribosomal RNA (253 nucleotides) under uncultured bacterium. RNAcentral's name for it is "partial 16S ribosomal RNA". It matches the Rfam family "Bacterial small subunit ribosomal RNA", at positions 524 to 776 of the family's 1533-position model. The record is from RNAcentral.